Molecule: ribosomal RNA, 905 nt
Filed under: uncultured bacterium
Lineage: Bacteria
Description: bacterial SSU rRNA
Rfam family: Bacterial small subunit ribosomal RNA
Source: RNAcentral
ACGCUGGCGGCAGGCUUAACACAUGCAAGUCGAACGGUAACAGGAGAAAGCUUGCUUUCUUGCUGACGAGUGGCGGACGGGUGAGUAAUGCUUGGGAAUCUGGCUUAUGGAGGGGGAUAACGACGGGAAACUGUCGCUAAUACCGCGUAGUGUCGAGAGACGAAAGUGCGGGACUGAGAGGCCGCAUGCCAUAGGAUGAGCCCAAGUGGGAUUAGGUAGUUGGUGGGGUAAAGGCCUACCAAGCCUGCGAUCUCUAGCUGGUCUGAGAGGAUGACCAGCCACACUGGAACUGAGACACGGUCCAGACUCCUACGGGAGGCAGCAGUGGGGAAUAUUGCGCAAUGGGGGGAACCCUGACGCAGCCAUGCCGCGUGAAUGAAGAAGGCCUUCGGGUUGUAAAGUUCUUUCGGUAUUGAGGAAGGUUGAUGUGUUGAUAGCACAUCAAAUUGACGUUAAAUACAGAAGAAGCACCGGCUAACUCCGUGCCAGCAGCCGCGGUAAUACGGAGGGUGCGAGCGUUAAUCGGAAUAACUGGGCGUAAAGGGCACGCAGGCGGUUAUUUAAGUGAGGUGUGAAAGCCCUGGGCUUAACCUAGGAAUUGCAUUUCAGACUGGGUAACUAGAGUACUUUAGGGAGGGGUAGAAUUCCACGUGUAGCGGUGAAAUGCGUAGAGAUGUGGAGGAAUACCGAAGGCGAAGGCAGCCCCUUGGGAAUGUACUGACGCUCAUGUGCGAAAGCGUGGGGAGCAAACAGGAUUAGAUACCCUGGUAGUCCACGCUGUAAACGCUGUCGAUUUGGGGGUUGGGGUUUAACUUUGGCGCCCGUAGCUAACGUGAUAAAUCGACCGCCUGGGGAGUACGGCCGCAAGGUUAAAACUCAAAUGAAUUGGACGGGGGCCCGCACAA